GUGUUCACUUUGGGAGCACAUAGGUCAGAACUGGAAUGAAGAUAAACAUGGCCCCUACACAAGGAUGACAUGCAAAUUUGUGAAGCAUCCCAUAUUACC
Small nuclear RNA from Cricetulus griseus (Chinese hamster), 99 nucleotides. The record is from Ensembl. NCBI's taxonomy places the organism in Eukaryota, Metazoa, Chordata, Mammalia, Rodentia, Cricetidae.